Molecule: ribosomal RNA, 497 nt
Filed under: uncultured bacterium
Lineage: Bacteria
Description: partial 16S ribosomal RNA
Rfam family: Bacterial small subunit ribosomal RNA
Source: RNAcentral
GAUGAACGCUGGCGGCGUGCCUAAUACAUGCAAGUCGAGCGAACGGACGAGAAGCUUGCUUCUCUGAUGUUAGCGGCGGACGGGUGAGUAACACGUGGAUAACCUACCUAUAAGACUGGGAUAACUUCGGGAAACCGGAGCUAAUACCGGAUAAUAUUUUGAACCGCAUGGUUCAAAAGUAAAAGACGGUCUUGCUGUCACUUAUAGAUGGAUCCGCGCUGCAUUAGCUAGUUGGUAAGGUAACGGCUUACCAAGGCAACGAUGCAUAGCCGACCUGAGAGGGUGAUCGGCCACACUGGAACUGAGACACGGUCCAGACUCCUACGGGAGGCAGCAGUAGGGAAUCUUCCGCAAUGGGCGAAAGCCUGACGGAGCAACGCCGCGUGAGUGAUGAAGGUCUUCGGAUCGUAAAACUCUGUUAUUAGGGAAGAACAUAUGUGUAAGUAACUGUGCACAUCUUGACGGUACCUAAUCAGAAACCCACGGCUAACUACGUG